GCGGGAAGUGGUGGAAGUCGCGGUAGUGGUGGUGGUGGUGGUGGCGGCGGUGGUGGUGGUAUACGAGGCACACUGGUACGAGGCUUGAGAUGCGGUGACUUGGCUCGACAAGGAUGACUGCAGUGAUGGGAAGAAGGCGCCCACACGGUUCUUCAGCCAUGCGCUCUGGAAAUAGGAAGAAGUGAGCUGCUGGACUUGCGCUGACUUACUGUGUGACCUGGAGUGAAGAGACGAAGCAUUGUUUUUUUUAGUGCCUGGACAUCGUGUUUAUGUAUCCAGGUUUGAGGCGCCAUGGGACAACCCAGGCCUGGCCUGCAUUGAUGAAGAGAGCAAACUGGUAUUCAGCCAUGUAAUGUGGGAGAUAAACACCUGGCCUGCUGUGACCUGGAGUGACAGCCUUUUUUUCAACCACUGGGUCUGGACAUUGAGUUUGUAUACGGAGGAGUGUAGUAGGUAUAAGGAUUUUGAUUUUAAAAGCACUUUCGCACACCCGAGUAUACCGAAACCAUAAUGAAGUGGUACAAUUCCUUCAAGAAACGGUUCCUUCUAGGUGAAAUGAGGUGUAGGAUUUUGGGGAACUAGUAGUAGUUGUGGAGUGGCUGAUGCAGGGUGUGAUGAAGUGAGGAAGGAAAGGAAGUGGAGUGAUGUAUGGUGGGAGAAAUUUCACGUAGAUCGGAGUGAAAGAUGGGAUGAUGUACUUGUGAUGUGAAGCACCUGAUUUGUGGAGUCCAGCUGAGUGAGAAUCGGAUAGGGUUUGAGAGUUUGUGAGGCUAGGAAGGAGUGAAAGAAUGUAAGUAGACCGUGCAGAUGGUUGAGAAAGACCUGACAGCGAUGGCAGAGAAUGAGUACUAGAAUGAAUGCAUGGGCAGCGUAUGUGAAACGGAGACAUGCAAGGCGAGCGAUAAAUAAGGGGCGAAUGAUGAUAAUGAAGGAUAAAAUGGAAGGAUAAAUUGAAGUGAGAAAGGAGUGAUAUAUUAAGUAAGAAAAAGGCAUGGAAGGUGGCCGGGAAUGGUAGAAGUUUGAGAAGUGAGAAUAAAUAGGUCAGGAAAUGUUUGUGUGGACAGUCUGAAAGUGAAAGUUUAGUUAAAACAGAAGGAAGGAAUCAGGGAGGCAAUCAGACUAUUUUGGGAAGAAGUGGAUGGUGUAGGUGACGUGUUUGGUGUGAGAAGGAUGCGUGACACUGGAAGGGAAGAAUGCAGACGAGCUGAAUGAGAGAAUUAGCAAGGAGGAAAAGAAAUGUGAAAAGGCAGAAGAAUGGGAAGGCAGCAGGGACAGAUGGGAUACCGUACGAGAUUAUAAAAAUGGUGGGGAGUUGAUGACUGAGAUAUUUAACUAGUUAAUGGUACAAGUGCCAAGAAUAUGUUAGGAAUGUAGUGAUUGUUGCGUAAGGGAGGAUGCAAAAGUUAAGAACUCUAGGCAGAUUGCGUUAGUAAACACAGUAAGAUAGUGUUCUUCAUUCAGUGAGCUUGUUUAAAUGUGUUGGGUGAAGAACAAUGGUUUCCGUGAAGACAGGAGAGCUGAGGGAGGAUAACUUAUUUGUGGUGAAUGAAAUGAUUGAGAGGAAAAGAAAGGAGGGAGGUAAACUAUAUUUAGGUUUUCUGGAUAUAGAGAAAACAUUUAUGAUAAGGGUGGAUUGAAAUACAUUAGGCAGUCGUGGGAGAGAUUGGGUUGUUUAAAAAAUUGAACAUAGUGCGUAGCAUGUAUGUUGACAAGAGCUAAAUAGACUAGGAGAUAUGGAAACAACAGACUGGGUGAAGGAGUGAGAGGAGUUAGGCAAAGAUGUAUGUGUAUUGUCACCAACCCUUUUCAGCCUGGAGUUAGCAGUCAGAACAAGAAAUGAAUAAUGAAUGCAGGAGUAAGUGUGGGAAAUAUGAAUGCAGGAGUGUAGGGAAAAUGUGUGCGCGCUUCUUAGGCAGAUGGUGAUGUGAGGGAGUCAGCAGAUGAGUUGCAAGUGUAUUGGAUGUUGUGGAUAGGUAUGGAUGGAAGAGACUUUGGAGUUUGGUUUUAAUAGAGAAAAGUAAGGUAAUGGGGUAGUGAUGAACGUGAUAUGGUAUGGAGAAUUGGAGAGCGAGUUGAAACCGGCGCAAGAAUGUAAGUACUUGGGGAUGUGGGCGAGUCCGAGUAAGUGUGAAAAGGGAAAAAAUGAAAAGCUUGAACCAGUGGUAAGACGACUGGGGAGUGCAGCUAGAAUGAGAGAGCAAGUUUAUGAUGUACUGAAUUGUGGCCGUGCCCAGUGUAAUGUUUGGGUGGGAAUGCAAUUAAUUAACUACAGAUGGUUUCAGUCCCCCAGCGAAGUGUGCCAGAUGUGACAUGGAGGAGGAUGAGACGGUGGUGCUGGAGUGUGAGAGAAGAGCGACAGGAGGGAGAUGUAAGCGUGUGGUGUUUAUACUUUAGAGGAGUUGCCGAUCCACAAGGCCUGCACUGGAGCGAUCCCGAGCCACAGGAAGGAAGAAUCGACAUCACGUCGCCCCAGCCGGCGGAACCUGAUGCUGGCUGGCUACCUCUACUAAGGGAACCAGCCCCAGGCCUCCAUUAGCGACCACGUCUUAUAGCGGUCGUGUUCACGCUUCCCUUCUGUUAUGAAGACAUAAUCGGUCAUUAGCAAUUUGUUUUUUUGUUGCUGGUUCCAUAUGUAAGAGUUCGAGGACUCCCCUACAAAAAAUGUUCGUUUGUAUUUUUUUUUUUAUAAAAUAUUUUCCUGGCUUUUCUUUCCUUCAUUAUCUUUUCUCCGGA
This 2733-nucleotide unclassified non-coding RNA is filed under the name Portunus trituberculatus (swimming crab). RNAcentral's name for it is "uncharacterized LOC123511488, transcript variant X3". Lineage: Eukaryota; Metazoa; Arthropoda; Malacostraca; Decapoda; Portunidae. The record is from RNAcentral.